CCUACGGGAGGCAGCAGUGAGGAAUAUUGGUCAAUGGACGAGAGUCUGAACCAGCCAAGUAGCGUGAAGGAUGACUGCCCUAUGGGUUGUAAACUUCUUUUAUAUGGGAAUAACAUGUUCCACGUGUGGGCUUUUGUAUGUACCCUAUGAAUAAGGAUCGGCUAACCCCGUUCCAGCAGCCGCGGUAAUACGGAGGAUCCGAGCGUUAUCCGGAUUUAUUGGGGUGAAAGGGAUGGUAGGUGGAUUGGUAAGUCAGUUGUGAAAGUUUGCGGCUCAACCGUAAAAUUGCAGUUGAAACUGGCAGUCUUGAGUACAGGAGAGGUGGGCGGAAUUCGUGGUGUAGCGGUGAAAUGCUUAGAUAUCACGAAGAACUCCGAUUGCGAAGGCAGCUCACUGGACUGCAACUGACACUGAGGCUCGAAAGUGUGGGUAUCAAACAGGAUUAGAUACCCUUGUAGUC
This 460-nucleotide ribosomal RNA is filed under the name uncultured bacterium. RNAcentral's name for it is "partial 16S ribosomal RNA". It matches the Rfam family "Bacterial small subunit ribosomal RNA", at positions 338 to 795 of the family's 1533-position model. The record is from RNAcentral.